UGUCCAAUGCGGGAAUCGAACCCGGGUCCUAGUGGUCGAAAACCAAACGGUUUAACCAGCCUUCCACCAAUUACC
Molecule: transfer RNA, 75 nt
Filed under: Cordylochernes scorpioides
Lineage: Eukaryota; Metazoa; Arthropoda; Arachnida; Pseudoscorpiones; Chernetidae
Description: tRNA-Glu
Source: RNAcentral